Molecule: ribosomal RNA, 534 nt
Filed under: Hyperolius lamottei (Ivory Coast reed frog)
Lineage: Eukaryota; Metazoa; Chordata; Amphibia; Anura; Hyperoliidae
Description: partial 16S ribosomal RNA
Rfam family: Bacterial large subunit ribosomal RNA
Source: RNAcentral
UGUCCCGCCUGCCCUGUGAUUUAAUUUAACGGCCGCGGUAUCUUGACCGCGCAAAGGUAGCAUAAUCAAUUGUUCUUUAAAUAAGGACUAGUAUGAACGGCACCACGAGGGUUUAACUGUCUCCCUAUUUUAACCAAUGAAAUUGAUCUUCCCGUGAAGAAGCGGGAAUAUAAAUAUAAGACGAAAAGACCCCAUGGAGCUUUAAACUUACUUUCAAUUACCAAAACAAAAACACAUACCCGGUAAAAAUGACAAUAAUUUUCGGUUGGGGCGACCCUGGAGAAAAGUAAAUCCUCCAAGAUGAAUAGACUAAAAAAAUCUAAUGUUAGAGUUACAACUCAAACAAUCAAAACCUUGACAAAAUGACCCAGAAUAAAAUCUGAUCAACGAACCAAGUUACCCUGGGGAUAACAGCGCAAUCCAUUUCAAGAGCCCUUAUCGACAAAUGGGUUUACGACCUCGAUGUUGGAUCGGGAUAUCCUAGCAGCGCAGCUGUUGCUCAGGGUUCGUUUGUUCAACGAUUAAUAACCCCAC